This 252-nucleotide ribosomal RNA is filed under the name uncultured prokaryote. RNAcentral describes it as "partial 16S ribosomal RNA". It matches the Rfam family "Bacterial small subunit ribosomal RNA", at positions 524 to 776 of the family's 1533-position model. The record is from RNAcentral.
UACAGAGGUCUCAAGCGUUGUUCGGAUUCAUUGGGCGUAAAGGGUGCGUAGGCUGCCUGGUAAGUCAGUUGUUAAAUUUCAGGGCUCAACCCUGAACUGCAAUUGAUACUGCCGAGCUUGAGGAUUUAAGAGGAGACUAGAAUUCACGGUGUAGCAGUGAAAUGCGUAGAUAUCGAGAGGAACACCUGCGGCGAAGGCGGGUUGCUGGGCUGACACUGACGCUGAUGCGCGAAAGCCAGGGGAGCGAACGGG